GAUGAACGCUGGCGGCGUGCCUAAUACAUGCAAGUCGAGCGAACGGACGAGAAGCUUGCUCCUCUGAUGUUAGCGGCGGACGGGUGAGUAACACGUGGAUAACCUACCUAUAAGACUGGGAUAACUUCGGGAAACCGGAGCUAAUACCGGAUAAUAUUUUGAACCGCAUGGUUCAAAAGUGAAAGACGGUCUUGCUGUCACUUAUAGAUGGAUCCGCGCUGCAUUAGCUAGUUGGUAAGGUAACGGCUUACCAAGGCAACGAUGCAUAGCCGACCUGAGAGGGUGAUCGGCCACACUGGAACUGAGACACGGUCCAGACUCCUACGGGAGGCAGCAGUAGGGAAUCUUCCGCAAUGGGCGAAAGCCUGACGGAGCAACGCCGCGUGAGUGAUGAAGGUCUUCGGAUCGUAAAACUCUGUUAUUAGGGAAGAACAUAUGUGUAAGUAACUGUGCACAUCUUGAUGGUACCUAAUCAGAAAGCCACGGCUAACUACGUG
Molecule: ribosomal RNA, 497 nt
Filed under: uncultured bacterium
Lineage: Bacteria
Description: partial 16S ribosomal RNA
Rfam family: Bacterial small subunit ribosomal RNA
Source: RNAcentral